RNAcentral lists this RNase P RNA (375 nucleotides) under Salmonella enterica. Its description in RNAcentral is "RNase P RNA component class A". It matches the Rfam family "Bacterial RNase P class A". Rfam says of the family: Ribonuclease P (RNase P) is a ubiquitous endoribonuclease, found in archaea, bacteria and eukarya as well as chloroplasts and mitochondria. Its best characterised activity is the generation of mature 5'-ends of tRNAs by cleaving the 5'-leader elements of precursor-tRNAs. RNAcentral also lists the same sequence under 1 other name. The record is from RNAcentral. Lineage: Bacteria; Pseudomonadati; Pseudomonadota; Gammaproteobacteria; Enterobacterales; Enterobacteriaceae.
GAAGCUGACCAGACAGUCGCCGCUUCGUCGUCGUCCUUUCGGGGAGACGGGCGGAGGGGAGGAAAGUCCGGGCUCCAUAGGGCAGGGUGCCAGGUAACGCCUGGGGGGGAAACCCACGACCAGUGCAACAGAGAGCAAACCGCCGAUGGCCCACGUAAGUGGGAUCAGGUAAGGGUGAAAGGGUGCGGUAAGAGCGCACCGCGCGGCUGGUAACAGUCCGUGGCACGGUAAACUCCACCCGGAGCAAGGCCAAAUAGGGGUUCAUAAGGUACGGCCCGUACUGAACCCGGGUAGGCUGCUUGAGCCAGUGAGCGAUUGCUGGCCUAGAUGAAUGGCUGUCCACGACAGAACCCGGCUUAUCGGUCAGUUUCACUU